CUUGGUGCUGUCAGUGAUUUUCUUGAUGCACAUUUUAUAAAGAUGCGGCAAUAAUAGGCCCACUUGAGCUGCUUCAUAUGAUUAUGCUAAUAUUGGAUGUUGUUGAUGCUGUUUGGUUCUGGUAAGUGAAGACCGAAGAGCUGGGCUGGAGGCUUCUUAUACUCCCCUGUGGGCAGCAGAGAGCAACUGGUGAAGUGUGUCAGAGUAAAUGAUGGGCUGAGCCUCAGUCUACAGAGGAAAACUUCUCCUCAAUGUGACAAGAGCAGCGGCAACAAUCAGCUGGGGGUGCUUUCUGUGGCCUUGGACAGACUGUCUCAUCGGAUGGGCUUCCUUUCUGUCCACCUGUUCAGAUGCUGAUUGCACAGAAUGGGGGCAGAAGUGCUGAUGACACCACCCUGUGAUGAGCUGACUUAUGGCCUCGGUUCAGCAGCCGGCGUUCUACCUUCCUUUCUCCCUAGGAUUUGCGGAAAGCCUCAGCUAAAAGGGAAGACUAGAAAAUACGUGAGAUCUCUUUAGCUGGAAGAUGUGGUGGUUCCUUGGUUGGACUUGAGAAAACCUCCCUGAAUUUGGGAAGAGGAUAAAGGGUAGAAAGGGAAAAGCUGUAAUGGAUGCGAAAGCAGAGAAACUCUGAAAUAAUAUCUAACUGGAGCUAAUUACAAAGAAACCUGAAACUUGGGAGAAGUAGGACUGUUUCUUUGCCUCAAAAAUGGUGGGGGAGGGUGUGUUCAACCUUUGGGCUGUAUUAUGAUAAACAUUAUUAAAAAUACAGAAAUAAAGCUUCAUUACUUGUAUACAUGAACUAUAUUAUGUAUUUUAUUUGAAACCCAAG
Molecule: long non-coding RNA, 829 nt
Organism: Heterocephalus glaber (naked mole-rat)
Lineage: Eukaryota; Metazoa; Chordata; Mammalia; Rodentia; Bathyergidae
Source: Ensembl